This is a small nuclear RNA of Aotus nancymaae (Ma's night monkey), 107 nucleotides long. NCBI's taxonomy places the organism in Eukaryota, Metazoa, Chordata, Mammalia, Primates, Aotidae. The record is from Ensembl.
GUGCUCACUUUGGCAGUACAUAUACUAACACUGGAACGAUACAGAGAAGAUUAGCAUGGCCCCUGCACAAGGAUGACACACACAUUUAUGAAGUGUUCCACAUUUUU